UGGGGAAUUUUGGACAAUGGGGGCAACCCUGAUCCAGCCAUGCCGCGUGAGUGAAGAAGGCCUUCGGGUUGUAAAGCUCUUUCGCGAGGGAAGAAAACGCAUUCGCUAAUACCGGAUGUGGAUGACGGUACCUUGAUAAGAAGCACCGGCUAACUACGUGCCAGCAGCCGCGGUAAUACGUAGGGUGCGAGCGUUAAUCGGAAUUACUGGGCGUAAAGCGUGCGCAGGCGGUUUUUUAAGACAGGCGUGAAAUCCCCGGGCUCAACCUGGGAAUGGCGCUUGUGACUGGAAGGCUAGAGUACGGCAGAGGGGGGUAGAAUUCCACGUGUAGCAGUGAAAUGCGUAGAGAUGUGGAGGAAUACCGAUGGCGAAGGCAGCCCCCUGGGUCGAUACUGACGCUCAUGCACGAAAGCGUGGGGAGCAAACAGG
Molecule: ribosomal RNA, 429 nt
Filed under: uncultured bacterium
Lineage: Bacteria
Description: bacterial SSU rRNA
Rfam family: Bacterial small subunit ribosomal RNA
Source: RNAcentral